AAGCAAUCGCCGUCGUUGAAAAUUUUAUUUUCAGAAAAUUGUUGAAUAAAAAUUCAUAAACUAUGAUUUUAUGAUAAAAUAUUUUUCAUUAUCAAUUUUCAAAUGAAUCUUUUCAUCAUAAUCUUUUUAUUGCAGAUACGUCUAUAGAGCGUUUCUUUCGGAAAAAAUUUUCCAUGAAGGAUUGAAAUGCUUCUGCUGUAAAUGUCUCGAAUAUUUUGAAUAUGAUUGAACGAUGAUUGAACACUACCAAAUAUUUACUCGACUUAUCUGUCGAUGAAAUGGAAAGCAAGCAAGAAAUAUAGCAAGUUUCUUAUCCGUCAUCAUCUCGACGAUUGAUACGAAAUCUUUCACGUAUAAUGUUCAACGAAACUGAUAUUAUUCAUGAUCAGAUAUUUUUUACGGUAUCGUCGUUUGAAAAAGAAGAUAUGCGACGGAAGAAAAUAACAGACGCGGUAUUCCGAUGUUUAUUGCCGGAUAAAGAUUAUCUACCCGUGGUUUCAAACUUCCGGGAGAGGUUCCACAGUAUUUAUCUUGUAGAGAAUUAGCACAUAAAAUAUCGCGAUAUUAAUUCUCAAGUCGUAGACACACACACACAUACACAAUGAUCGGUAUUACUCACGUUGAAUACGUGUCCAUAUUUCCCGAUACAGUGAUCGUUCUCGUUCAUACUAUCGCAUCGCGAGAAAGUGCUUCGAAAAGCAGUGCGAUUUUCAUCAGCGAUUUUUUGGAAUGCAAAUCUCCACACCGAUAUGGAUUUACUUUGAUGGAGAAUGAGUAACGCGUGGUGUUGCGCGUCGCAAAUCGCCGUAAGGACUGACCAGUUCAGUAGGUCGCUCAAGAGCCAUUAUCAGCGCUUAUCAAUCGCGACCCCUGACCAACCGGCUAAUAAACCGGCUCCUCCUUCUCGGAGUUAUCAUCGAAAAUCUUGAUGGGAGAAGUAACCUUAAUCACAUAAAUACCCGUUUCCUCCCGAAUUUAUUUAUUACUCUCGCAACAACAUUAUUAUUUUUAUUAUUUAAUAACUUAUUAUUAUCUCUCACCAUUAAUUAUUAUUAUUGUUGUCAACACUAAAUACUAUAUUCUCUUAAAUGGAAUCAGAGUAUUGUCACAGAAAAGCUGAUUAAAUUUAAUUAGAAUGAAAGAAAACGCGAAACGUUCCUGUUUGCGGUAUAAUAUGUGCAAAUACGUCAAAUAUAAAUGUCUUAUAACUUAGACAGCUAGAGGCUAGAGGUAGAUAGGAAGGGGAAGGGACAUCUUUGUGUAUGAGGAAAUAUGACGUGCGAGCGAGUUCCCAUGUAUUUACGUAUAAUCGCGACUACCUUGCGUAAUUCGGUCUCGUCCGUCGUUAUUUUCCGCGAGAACAUCAGCCACGACCUCGAUCGCGCGAAUUGCGUGGCUUUCGCAGGAAUUAACAUGGUCGGAAUUCCUCGCAAGCGAAGAAUCUCGCGUAUAACUGGAAAGGUGCGAAUGUAUCGUCGAUUACGAUCGUCGCCUGAUUAAAAUCGUCUGGCCAUUUUGACCAAUUCUUAUCGACUUUUAUCAUGCGAUAACGCGGAUGCGUUCAAGUGAGUCGCGCGAAAAAAAAAAGAAAUAAGUAAACCAACGGUAAUUAUAAUGAAUGUUUUCAAACGUACACUUGUGCAUAUGAAAGGUGCAUGAAUCGAGAUAAAAAUGUAUCUGCAACGGAAUAACUUUAACUUUUCCCGAAUGUAAUAAAUGAAUCGUAGAGAGAGGCGAAAUUAAAUGUCUGUUACGCGACGAACUGGAACUGACAAAAAAUUUUACCGUCCGUAAUUGCUGUAAACGCGAUUUAUUUUAACACUUUAUAGAAUAGUAAUCGAAAGGAAUGUUAAAACGGAUG
Long non-coding RNA from Cataglyphis hispanica, 1861 nucleotides. RefSeq lists it as uncharacterized. The record is from RefSeq and is a predicted model, not a curated record. NCBI's taxonomy places the organism in Eukaryota, Metazoa, Arthropoda, Insecta, Hymenoptera, Formicidae. The transcript has 3 exons.